CAUGCAUCUAAUCACUCCCUGGAGUGUUGUGUGUUUAUAGGUGUGUAAUCAGGUCCUGUUCUCACCUCAGAAAAUACAUGCAUCUAAUCACUCCCUGGAGUGUUGUGUGUUUAUAGGUGUGUAAUCAGGUCCUGUUCUCACCUCAGAAAAUACAUGCAUCUAAUCACUCCCUGGAGUGUUGUGUGUUUAUAGGUGUGUAAUCAGGUCCUGUUCUCACCUCAGAAAAUACAUGCAUCUAAUCACUCCCUGGAGUGUUGUGUGUUUAUAGGUGUGUAAUCAGGUCCUGUUCUCACCUCAGAAAAUACAUGCAUCUAAUCACCCCCUGGAGUGUUGUGUGUUUAUAGGUGUGUAAUCAGGUCCUGUUCUCACCUCAAAUACAUGCAUCUAAUCACCCCCUGGAGUGUUGUGUGUUUAUAGGUGUGUAAUCAGGUCCUGUUCUCACCUCAAAUACAUGCAUCUAAUCACUCCCUGGAGUGUUGUGUGUUUAUAGGUGUGUAAUCAGGUCCUGUUCUCACCUCAAAUACAUGCAUCUAAUCACCCCCUGGAGUGUUGUGUGUUUAUAGGUGUGUAAUCAGGUCCUGUUCUCACCUCAGAAAAUACAUGCAUCUAAUCACCCCCUGGAGUGUUGUGUGUUUAUAGGUGUGUAAUCAGGUCCUGUUCUCACCUCAAAUACAUGCAUCUAAUCACUCCCUGGAGUGUUGUGUGUUUAUAGGUGUGUAAUCAGGUCCUGUUCUCACCUCAAAUACAUGCAUCUAAUCACUCCCUGGAGUGUUGUGUGUUUAUAGGUGUGUAAUCAGGUCCUGUUCUCACCUCAGAAAAUACAUGCAUCUAAUCACCCCCUGGAGUGUUGUGUGUUUAUAGGUGUGUAAUCAGGUCCUGUUCUCACCUCAAAUACAUGCAUCUAAUCACUCCCUGGAGUGUUGUGUGUUUAUAGGUGUGUAAUCAGGUCCUGUUCUCACCUCAGAAAAUACAUGCAUCUCAAAUCAAAUGUA
This is a long non-coding RNA of Oncorhynchus keta (chum salmon), 992 nucleotides long. RefSeq lists it as uncharacterized. The transcript has 3 exons. The record is from RefSeq and is a predicted model, not a curated record. NCBI's taxonomy places the organism in Eukaryota, Metazoa, Chordata, Actinopteri, Salmoniformes, Salmonidae.